Molecule: non-coding RNA, 72 nt
Organism: Bos taurus (domestic cattle)
Lineage: Eukaryota; Metazoa; Chordata; Mammalia; Artiodactyla; Bovidae
Source: Rfam
UCCCUGGUGGUCCAGUGGUUAGGACAUGGUGCUCUCACUGCCAGGGCCCUGGUUUGAUCCCUGGUCAGAGAA